GCAAGAUACCACGGGCGCACGGCGGAUGCCUUGGCACAGGGAGCCGAUGAAGGACGCGGCAAGCUGCGAUAAUCCCCGGCGAGGAGCACACAUCCUUCGACCCGGGGGUCUCCGAAUGGGCGAACCCAUCCACAGCAGUGUGGAUAUCCCCACCCCGAACUCAUAAGGGUGGGGAGGACAACCCGGGGAACUGAAACAUCUAAGUACCCGGAGGAGAGGAAAUCAAUCUCGAGACUCCCCGAGUAGCGGCGAGCGAAAGGGGACCGAUGGCCAAACCGUCGAGCGGGCAUACCCGGCAGGGGUUCCGCCGACGGGGUUGCAGGGCCGCGCAUCCGGGGGCUGCCGCCCCCGGGCGCAGGUCCGGCUGGGGAGCGGAACGGCAUGGGAGGGCCGGCCGCAGCGGGUGACAGCCCCGUACGCGAACCCAGACCGGACGGCGCGACGCGGUCCCUGAGUAGGGCCGGGCACGUGAAACCCGGUCCGAACCUGGGUGGACCACCAUCCAAGCCUGAGUACUACCCUGUGACCGAUAGCGCACCAGUACCGUGAGGGAAAGGUGAAAAGCACCCCGGGAGGGGAGUGAAACAGUACCUGAAACCGUGCGCCCACGAGCAGUCGGAGCAACUUUCAGUUGUGACGGCGUGCCUUUUGUAGAAUGAGCCAGCGAGUCGCUGGCGCGGGGCGAGGUUAACCGAAAGGGAGCCGGAGCGAAAGCGAGCCUUAACAGGGCGACUUGAGUCCCGCGCCGCGGACGCGAAGCCGGGUGAGCUAUCCGUGGGCAGGCUGAAGCGGGGGUAAGACCCCGUGGAGGGCCGAACGCACGUCGGUUGAAAACGGCGGCGAUGACCUGCGGAUAGGGGUGAAAGGCCAAUCAAACCCGGAGAUAUCUCGUUCUCCCCGAAAUAGCUUUAGGGCUAGCGUCGCGCGUUCACCGCCGGAGGUAGAGCACCGGAUGGACGAGGGGGCUUCGCCGCCUACCGAAUCCAACCGAACUCCGAAUGCCGGCGGCCCAGAGCGCGGCAGUCAGAGCAUGUGGGCUAAGCUGUGUGCUCGAGAGGGAAACAGCCCGGACCGCCCGCUAAGGUCCCCAAGUUCCAGCCGAGUGGCAAAGGAUGUGCGUCCGCCCAGACAACCAGGAUGUUGGCUUAGAAGCAGCCAUGCAUUCAAAGAGUGCGUAACAGCUCACUGGUCGAGUGGACAUGCGCCGACAAUACACGGGGCUAAGCUGGACACCGAAGCGGCGGGAUUUUAUUCAUUAGAAUCGGUAGGGGAGCUUCCCAUGGGCGGAGAAGCCGGAGGGCGACCGACGGUGGAGCGCAUGGGAGUGAGAAUGCUGGCAUGAGUAGCGAGAGACGAGAGAGUAACUCGUCCGCCGUGAACCCGAGGUUUCCUGGGCAAGGCUAAUCCUCCCAGGGUCAGUCGGGGGCUAAGGCGAGGCCGGUAGGCGUAGCCGACGCGCAGCAGGCAGACAUUCCUGCACCGCGCACGCGGCGCUACGACCGACGGGGCGACGGAUGGGGGUGGCUCGGCGGGGUUCUGGACGUCCCCGUGAUGGAGCGCGGCCCGCGGACCAGGGAAAUCCGGUCCGCACGAGGGCGAGGCUCCGGACGAAGCGAUUGAGCGAAGCGAGUGAGCCCGAGGUCCCUAGAAAAACCCCUAGGCAGGCGCGUGCGCGCCCGUACCGCAAACCGACACAGGUGGGUGGGUAGAACAUACCGAGGCGAUCGGGUCAACCAUGGUCAAGGAACUCGGCACAAUGGCCCCGUAACUUCGGGAGAAGGGGUGCCCGCGCGUACGUGAACGGACUUGCUCCGGGAGCGGAGGCGGGCCGCAGUGGAGAGGCCCAAGCGACUGUUUACCAAAAACACAGGACUCUGCAGAAGCCGCAAGGCGACGUAUAGGGUCUGACGCCUGCCCGGUGCCGGAAGGUCACGCGGAGGGGUUAGCCGUAUCGGCGAAGCCCCGAAGCCAAGCCCCGGUAAACGGCGGCCGUAACUAUAACGGUCCUAAGGUAGCGAAAUUCCUUGUCGGGUAAGUUCCGACCUGCACGAA
This 2052-nucleotide ribosomal RNA is filed under the name human gut metagenome. RNAcentral's name for it is "bacterial LSU rRNA". It matches the Rfam family "Bacterial large subunit ribosomal RNA", at positions 1 to 1996 of the family's 2925-position model. The record is from RNAcentral.